GGUGGUUUGUCGCGUUGUUCGUGAAAUCUCACGGCUUAACUGUGAGCGUGCGGGCGAUACGGGCAGACUUGAGUACUGCAGGGGAGACUGGAAUUCCUGGUGUAGCGGUGGAAUGCGCAGAUAUCAGGAGGAACACCGGUGGCGAAGGCGGGUCUCUGGGCAGUAACUGACGCUGAGGAGCGAAAGCGUGGGGAGCGAACAGGAUUAGAUACCCUGGUAGUCCACGCCGUAAACGGUGGGUACUAGGUGUGGGUUUCCUUCCUUGGGAUCCGUGCCGUAGCUAACGCAUUAAGUACCCCGCCUGGGGAGUACGGCCGCAAGGCUAAAACUCAAAGAAAUUGACGGGGGCCCGCACAAGCGGCGGAGCAUGUGGAUUAAUUCGAUGCAACGCGAAGAACCUUACCUGGGUUUGACAUGCACAGGACGCCGGCAGAGAUGUCGGUUCCCUUGUGGCCUGUGUGCAGGUGGUGCAUGGCUGUCGUCAGCUCGUGUCGUGAGAUGUUGGGUUAAGUCCCGCAACGAGCGCAACCCUUGUCUCAUGUUGCCAGCGGGUAAUGCCGGGGACUCGUGAGAGACUGCCGGGGUCAACUCGGAGGAAGGUGGGGAUGACGUCAAGUCAUCAUGCCCCUUAUGUCCAGGGCUUCACACAUGCUACAAUGGCCGGUACAAAGGGCUGCGAUGCCGCGAGGUUAAGCGAAUCCUUUUAAAGCCGGUCUCAGUUCGGAUCGGGGUCUGCAACUCGACCCCGUGAAGUCGGAGUCGCUA
Molecule: ribosomal RNA, 765 nt
Filed under: uncultured bacterium
Lineage: Bacteria
Description: bacterial SSU rRNA
Rfam family: Bacterial small subunit ribosomal RNA
Source: RNAcentral